GUGGGGGUAGUUUAAUAAAAACCUUAGAUUGUGAUUCUAAAAACAAGGGUUAAAAUCCCUUCCUCCACC
Molecule: transfer RNA, 69 nt
Filed under: Solea ovata (ovate sole)
Lineage: Eukaryota; Metazoa; Chordata; Actinopteri; Pleuronectiformes; Soleidae
Description: tRNA-His
Rfam family: tRNA
About the family: Transfer RNA (tRNA) molecules are approximately 80 nucleotides in length.
Source: RNAcentral